This 294-nucleotide ribosomal RNA is filed under the name uncultured bacterium. RNAcentral describes it as "partial 16S ribosomal RNA". It matches the Rfam family "Bacterial small subunit ribosomal RNA", at positions 335 to 627 of the family's 1533-position model. The record is from RNAcentral.
UUUCCUACGGGGCGCAGCAGUGAGGAAUAUUGGUCAAUGGGAGAGAUCCUGAACCAGCCAAGCCGCGUGAGGGAAGACGGCCCUAUGGGUUGUAAACCUCUUUUGUCGGGGAGCAAAAGACGCCACGCGUGGCGUUCCGAGAGUACCCGAAGAAAAAGCAUCGGCUAACUCCGUGCCAGCAGCCGCGGUAAUACGGAGGAUGCGAGCGUUAUCCGGAUUUAUUGGGUUUAAAGGGUGCGCAGGCGGUCUGUUAAGUCAGCGGUCAAAGCCCGGGGCUCAACCCCGGCCCGCCGU